RNAcentral lists this long non-coding RNA (917 nucleotides) under Orbicella faveolata. RNAcentral's name for it is "uncharacterized LOC110069327, transcript variant X2". The record is from RNAcentral. Lineage: Eukaryota; Metazoa; Cnidaria; Anthozoa; Scleractinia; Merulinidae.
GGUAGCUCAAAAAACAGACAACGAAGAAAUUAAAUGUCACUGAUAUUAAUGACUCUGCAUUUUCAAACAGAAAGCACAACAAAAUGAAUCGAACGAGAGAAGGGAAGGAGAGGAGAAGGAGAAAGAGAAGACUGAAGAGAAAGAUGCAAGGUCUGCAAGGAGAGCAAGGGUGAACGAAGAGCCGGUGUCGGGAAAUGUGAUUCGGGUCAGGUCCCGAAACGGGACACAGGAAAGGAGAUUUCAAACGGGAGCUCAUUUCCAGGAGGUCUACGACUGGGCCGGGGCAGAUGAAUCCUUCCCGCCCUAUUUCACCCUGCAUAGGGGCAGUGUGAUGGUUUCUCACGAAGAAACAGUGCAAAUGGAUGAAACUUUAGAUGUCACAGAGAGAGAGGAAGAGGAAAUGGAGUCACUGUUUCAAACUAAGGUUAGGGAAGUUUUUUUUAAAAUGUCCAUCAUUUAAACAAAUCAAGUCUAACCUUGCAAUCGGACUUAUAACAUAUAUAGCCGAUAUAGGCGGAGUUUUAACCAAUCUUGUGAACGCGAAGAAGAUCAUAAUAUCUGCUGCUACAUUUCUUUUUACCUUCCAUGUCACUAUUUACCUAUGAAUUCGCAGGGACUCAUUAUUAUUGGCCACUUUAAUUCGGACUUAGUUGUUAGGAACUUACCUUCAGCCCACUUACUGAUUCAUCUAGGAAGCUUCAGACCAGCCUCUUCGUGAGGUUCUUAGGAAAUUUAACAUCCAGAUGAUAGUCUCCUAAUCGAGCCGGGACACUUGGGACCAGGCUCUUCGUGAGCCAGGACACUUGGGACCAGGCUCUUAGGAGCUUAACUAAGGGCAAUAGACUUCCUAAUCGAGCCAGGACACUUGGGACCAGGCUCUUCGUGAGCCAGGACACUUGGGACCAGGCUCUUAGGAG